Molecule: long non-coding RNA, 313 nt
Organism: Oncorhynchus tshawytscha (Chinook salmon)
Lineage: Eukaryota; Metazoa; Chordata; Actinopteri; Salmoniformes; Salmonidae
Source: Ensembl
CUCAGCCGUCAACUAAUCGUCAAGCCCUUGACUAGAUGACUCAGAGAGCAGGUGGUGGAGACAUUCACCAUGUCUCGUCAACAUAGAGCUCCUUGGUUAAAGAAGGGACUUGAGCUGUCCAGAGGAGAAUUCAUUGAGAACAUUUGCCAUCCAAGCCCAGAGUGCUAGGAGCAGAUGGCUGGAUAGAGGCAUCUCUUCCUGUGUAGAUAAAGACAUCGAUCUCCCUGGGCCAUGCUGACUGGAUCUGCUCAUCAGCCAUUCAAAUGAGAUGGAUGCUUCUCUCUGCCUGCAGCCUAGUGACAACAAGAGGGCA